Molecule: ribosomal RNA, 427 nt
Filed under: uncultured bacterium
Lineage: Bacteria
Description: bacterial SSU rRNA
Rfam family: Bacterial small subunit ribosomal RNA
Source: RNAcentral
GGGAAUCUUCCGCAAUGGACGAAAGUCUGACGGAGCAACGCCGCGUGAGCGAAGAAGGCCUUCGGGUCGUAAAGCUCUGUUGUUAGGGAAGAACAAGUAACGCAGUAACUGGCGUUACCUUGACGGUACCUAACGAGAAAGCCACGGCUAACUACGUGCCAGCAGCCGCGGUAAUACGUAGGUGGCAAGCGUUGUCCGGAAUUAUUGGGCGUAAAGCGCGCGCAGGCGGUUCCUUAAGUCUGAUGUGAAAGCCCACGGCUCAACCGUGGAGGGUCAUUGGAAACUGGGGAACUUGAGUGCAGAAGAGGAGAGCGGAAUUCCACGUGUAGCGGUGAAAUGCGUAGAGAUGUGGAGGAACACCAGUGGCGAAGGCGGCUCUCUGGUCUGUAACUGACGCUGAGGCGCGAAAGCGUGGGGAGCAAACAGG